This 441-nucleotide ribosomal RNA is filed under the name uncultured bacterium. RNAcentral describes it as "partial 16S ribosomal RNA". It matches the Rfam family "Bacterial small subunit ribosomal RNA", at positions 338 to 795 of the family's 1533-position model. The record is from RNAcentral.
CCUACGGGUGGCAGCAGUCGGGAAUAUUGCGCAAUGGAGGAAACUCUGACGCAGUGACGCCGCGUGCAGGAAGAAGGUUUUCGGAUUGUAAACUGCUUUAGACAGGGAAGAAAAAAGAUAGUACCACAAGAGGAAGAGACGGCUAACUCUGUGCCAGCAGCCGCGGUAAUACAGAGGUCUCAAGCGUUGUUCGGAAUCACUGGGCGUAAAGCGUGCGUAGGCUGUUUCGUAAGUCGUGUGUGAAAGGCGCGGGCUCAACCCGCGGACGGCACAUGAUACUGCGAGACUAGAGUAAUGGAGGGGGAACCGGAAUUCUCGGUGUAGCAGUGAAAUGCGUAGAUAUCGAGAGGAACACUCGUGGCGAAGGCGGGUUCCUGGACAUUAACUGACGCUGAGGCACGAAGGCCAGGGGAGCGAAAGGGAUUAGAUACCCCAGUAGUC